Molecule: long non-coding RNA, 1520 nt
Filed under: Lupinus angustifolius (narrow-leaved blue lupine)
Lineage: Eukaryota; Viridiplantae; Streptophyta; Magnoliopsida; Fabales; Fabaceae
Description: long non-coding RNA (LANG_LNC002366)
Source: RNAcentral
GCUGUUUCAAUAGGAAGGCUUUAUAUGGUUAUGAUCCUGUUUUGACUGAGGAAGAUUUGGAGCCUAACAUUAUUGUGAAGAGUUGUUGUGGUUCUACUAGAAAGAAGGGAAGGGGUGGCAAGAAGAACACUGACAAGAGGGGACUUAAAAGAACAGAAUCGACCACACCUAUCUUUAAUAUGGAGGACAUAGAGGAGGGAGUUGAAGGUAUGCUAAUAUGAUAAUUGUUAUCUUAACUCUAAUUUAAGUUGCUUAUGCAUGUAGAAUUUCAUAUGUUGAAUUUCAUGCAAUUUCAUUUUACCCCCUAUCCCACUGAUCAGCUUCACAAGUAAUUUAUACUAGUUUGCCAUAGUUUGUUUGCCAGAUAUCUAGGCAUGAUUGUCUGAAAGAUGAGAUGACAAUGUUGUUUCCUUCAUGAUAUCUAAUGCAUUCUUUUGCAGGGUAUGAUGAUGAAAGGUUACUUCUUAUGUCUCAAAAGAGCUUAGAGAAGCGUUUUGGUCAGUCUCCAGUUUUUGUUGCUGCUACCUUUAUGGAACAGGGUGGCAUUCCACCUUCAACCAACCCUGCAACUCUUCUUAAGGAAGCAAUCCAUGUUAUCAGUUGUGGUUAUGAAGACAAGACGGAAUGGGGAAAAGAGGUGAAUAUGUCUACUUAUCAUUGUGCUUUUGAUUCUGGCCCUCUGCUAUAAAGAAAUUUGAGAUGUGAGAUUAAUGAGUAGAUUUUUUUAGUUUAUUAAUUAAACAUUUUCUGACCUCACCAGAUUGGAUGGAUCUAUGGUUCUGUGACUGAAGAUAUUUUGACUGGGUUUAAGAUGCAUGCUCGUGGUUGGAUUUCCGUCUAUUGCAUGCCACCUCGCCCAGCAUUUAAGGGUUCUGCUCCCAUCAAUCUUUCUGACCGUCUCAAUCAGGUGCUUCGGUGGGCCUUGGGUUCAAUUGAGAUAUUCCUGAGCAGACAUUGCCCCUUGUGGUAUGGCUACCAUGGGAAGUUGAGAUCUCUGCAGAGACUUGCUUAUAUUAACACCAUUAUCUACCCCCUUACCUCAAUCCCAUUGAUUGCUUACUGUAUUCUUCCUGCAUUUUGUCUUGUCACAAAUAAGUUCAUUAUUCCCGAGGCAAGUAUUUUUCCUCUAUCUCAUUUUUCUGAUAAGCUUUUAUCAUUUAUGUUGUGUUCCAGCUGAUAACAUUAACAUUUGGUUAAUUUUAUUUCUUUUACUCUUCACAGCUUUGGCUAAAUUUCAUUUCUUUUUUGUACCUGUCAGAUCAACUUGAAAGGUCUUGAUGGUAUUCAGGGCCCAGUCUAUGUGGGAACUGGUUGCUGUUUCAAUAGGAAGGCUUUAUAUGGUUAUGAUCCUGUUUUGACUGAGGAAGAUUUGGAGCCUAACAUUAUUGUGAAGAGUUGUUGUGGUUCUACUAGAAAGAAGGGAAGGGGUGGCAAGAAGAACACUGACAAGAGGGGACUUAAAAGAACAGAAUCGACCACACCUAUCUUUAAUAUGGAGGACAUAGAGGAGGGAGUUGAAG